UACAUGGGGUGCAAACGUUGCUCGGAAUUAUUGGGCGUAAAGAGCGUGUAGGCGGCCAGAUAGGUCUGCUGUGAAAACUCGAGGCUUAACCUCGAGAUGUCGGCGGAAACCAUCUGGCUAGAGUCCGGAAGAGGAGAGUGGAAUUCCUGGUGUAGCGGUGAAAUGCGCAGAUAUCAGGAAGAACACCCGUGGCGAAGGCGGCUCUCUGGGACGGUACUGACGCUGAGACGCGAAAGCGUGGGGAGCGAACAGG
Molecule: ribosomal RNA, 253 nt
Filed under: uncultured bacterium
Lineage: Bacteria
Description: partial 16S ribosomal RNA
Rfam family: Bacterial small subunit ribosomal RNA
Source: RNAcentral